RNAcentral lists this transfer RNA (75 nucleotides) under bacterium. Its description in RNAcentral is "tRNA-Asp". It matches the Rfam family "tRNA". From Rfam's summary of the family: Transfer RNA (tRNA) molecules are approximately 80 nucleotides in length. The record is from RNAcentral. RNAcentral also lists the same sequence under 4 other names.
GCCCACGUCGUCUAGUCCGGUCCAGGAUAGGGGACUGUCACUCCCCUGACCCGGGUUCAAAUCCCGGCGUGGGCG